AGACUCCAGAUGGAAGCAAGCCAUCCCCUGCCUCGAGAAAACACCGCCACUCCAGUGGAAACGGACAGGCGCGCACACAGCGAGGAAUGGUAAUGACAUUCCCAAGUCCAUAUGGGAAUCCCUGCUUCUGUGGGCCUCAGUCUGUCAUCUUCUUUGGAGCGGGACCAAAGUAAGUAAGAUAAAGUCACAAUUUCUCAUCCUUCUUCACUCAACUUUUCUUUGAGGAGAGAAUGCAGCAGUUUCAAGGACAAGGGAUUCGUACCACUGCUUCUCACUCAAUAAACAGCAGAGGCAGAAUUUGAACACUAGCUGUGUGACCUUACGUAACUUCUCUGAACCAUUGCUCACAUGUAAAAUGUGGAAAAAAGUAUCCACUCCUCAGUGAUGUUGUGACGAUUAAAAGAACAAGAGAUGUAGAGUGCUCAGCACAAUGCCUGUGCUCUGGGAAGCACUCCAGAUGUGUCUGCUUUUGUUGUGAUUUUGCCAUUCUUCAACAAAGUAAAAAGAGCCUCAA
Mandrillus leucophaeus (drill) is the source of this 514-nucleotide long non-coding RNA. RefSeq lists it as uncharacterized. The transcript is spliced from 4 exons. NCBI's taxonomy places the organism in Eukaryota, Metazoa, Chordata, Mammalia, Primates, Cercopithecidae. The record is from RefSeq and is a predicted model, not a curated record.